CCCCUUAAAAGAAUCUCGUCCUCGAGAUUAGGAUGAACCAGAGAAUAACUGAGGGUAUUUUGAUAUCAGAUCAUCUUCUCUUUCCCAGGUUGCCUCUUCCACAGAAUGAUGUUUCCAUUGUACUUUACACAUCCUGAUAGUCUUACUCCUGGUGAUCCUCUCUACUGUUUCCAAAACUUUAUAGGACUCUCAAGCAUUUCUUGAAUUGGGAGACAUGGAAAAUAUUGUGCACAUUGGACAGGCUAGCAAGCAACUCAAGCUGAUAAGCCACUUUACCUCUCCUUUCCAAAAUCCUGAAAGGACCAAUGUAUCUAGGAGCUAGCUUUCCCUUGACCUUGAACCUCUUUAGCCCACUCAUCGGAGAUACUUUCAGGUAU
RNAcentral lists this long non-coding RNA (377 nucleotides) under Sorghum bicolor (sorghum). RNAcentral describes it as "long non-coding RNA (SBIC_LNC012612)". The record is from RNAcentral. Lineage: Eukaryota; Viridiplantae; Streptophyta; Magnoliopsida; Poales; Poaceae.